Thunnus maccoyii (southern bluefin tuna) is the source of this 1471-nucleotide long non-coding RNA. RefSeq lists it as uncharacterized. The transcript is spliced from 4 exons. The record is from RefSeq and is a predicted model, not a curated record. NCBI's taxonomy places the organism in Eukaryota, Metazoa, Chordata, Actinopteri, Scombriformes, Scombridae.
UAUAGUUUCAAUCGCUAGUUUCAAGUCUUCUUCAAUACAGCAUGAUCAUUUUGUAAGUUGUGAUUGACAGGUCGCUACCACGGGACAACGUUGAUUACGUAACGUAACCAUGGCGCAGCUGCUGCUGCUUCACAUUCGGCCAAAAAAGGUCUUGUUCAACGUUUGGUUGUGAUAAAACUCCCUCUAAGGAGUUGAAUGUUCAGUUUUUCUGGAAAUGUGUGUUGGGGAGGAUUCAACUUCUGCUGAGGCUCAUGUGAACGUGCUACAAAGUGAGUAUUGGAGACACAUCCAGACAUCUGGACUGUCAAAGACUUCAUGGCGCAAACCUACUCCUGGAGUUGUUGUGAAAUCAUGGAAGGGAUGCCCAUGGAGGAUGUACUCAACAAAUACCCAUGUACUUAAGGACGCCUACUGGAGUUUUUUUUUUUGACAAAGUUGAACAAAUCCAUCCUUCAACAGACAGCUUCUGUCAUCACUUCAGGGAAGGCUUUGUUGGUGUUUUGCCAAAUGUGCUGAAACUUGCCAGGGGAAAUCUCUCCUAACAGUAUACUGACGCAAGACAGGAUCUCCUGGCUGAAGAUCUACCAGGUGGUGACAGUCACCUUGCUAAUGAACCUGACAAUAGAUCCGCUGUAAUUACCACAUUGCACGCUUGAAAUUGUAUGUGAUUGUGAAAGUAGGAUAUUUUUCUGCAUUGGAGGGAUUGACUUAAGGGCCGGGCUUAUCCUCUUGACAUCCAUCUUCAGAGAAAAGAUUGAACACUACAUCACUAUGGGAGAGGGGGACCCUGCUACACCCCAUCCAACCAUACAACUGAUGGACGAUGACUGGAAAAUGGCAACCACUGGAAGAAGGUUCAGUGUGGUGAAAGUAGAUGGAGUAGGCAUGUGUCAGUGCACAGGCCUUGAUGAAGCCUUCAGUAUGCAUGUCCACUGCACCUGAAAAACACACUGACCUUCCUUGUCAGUAUCCUGAAAGAGUGUUUUGCAUUUAAAACUGAUUAAUUAUAGUUAUAAAGUUGAUUUUAGUUAAUGUUCUGUAUGUUACAAAAUUUGUAACAUUUUAUGUUUAAAUUUGUGAAACACGCACUGUUUGUGUGUUUUGCAUGUAAAACGGGUUAAUGAAUAGUUCACAAGGCCUGAUGCCUCCAGUUUAAAAGUUUUUGUUUGUUGUUUUUAAUUUGCAUUUUGUGUACCUUUUACUUUGUUACAUUAUGUGUGAAACCAAGUUGUGAAAUGGAGUUUUGAUUCACUCAGUGAUUAAUGAAUGGCUCCUUAGGCCCAAUGCUUCAGCUUAAUGUUGAAAAGAAACACUUUUUGUCAUGUGCCGGAACUUUUUAAGGACAAAUCAGUUCUAGCAGAAAAAUACAUUGAUUGAAAUAGACUGAAAAUUAAUUGGUUUAUAUGUAAAAUAUUGAUAUUGUUAAAAUAUGUAAACUAAUUGUUCUUCAAAUAAAUUUUGGUGAAUCGUU